Molecule: non-coding RNA, 98 nt
Organism: Brassica napus (rape)
Lineage: Eukaryota; Viridiplantae; Streptophyta; Magnoliopsida; Brassicales; Brassicaceae
Source: Rfam
GGAAUAUAAGAACCCAUCUCUUAACUUUUAACUAAAAAAGUUAAGAACCGGUUCUUAGCUUUUUUAGUUAAAAGUUAAGAGAAAAGUUCUUAUAUUCC